Long non-coding RNA from Daphnia pulex (common water flea), 338 nucleotides. RefSeq lists it as uncharacterized. The transcript has 3 exons. The record is from RefSeq and is a predicted model, not a curated record. NCBI's taxonomy places the organism in Eukaryota, Metazoa, Arthropoda, Branchiopoda, Diplostraca, Daphniidae.
GGCAACUUCAGGCUUCAGGCUGCUUCAGGAGACUGCCAGCACAGCUACUUCUGGAUAACACAGGAAUCACACGCUGCAUACAACAGUUCAAUUAGUCUUCAUCACAUCUUACACCAUCAGGCUGCAACAAGUGUGUACAAACAGGACUCAUUAUGACAGAAGAAUACAAGGAGUUAGACAAAACUACGCAGUCCAACAGAUCUCUCCGAUAUCUCAAAUUUUACAAAGGAAGUUAGAAUUGUAGGAAAUUGGACACAAAUAAUUACGUUUGCUUUUGCAUGGGACGAGACGUACGUGUACAGGCAGCAAGACACACGAGGCACAUUUCGGCAAAAUGA